This 467-nucleotide ribosomal RNA is filed under the name uncultured bacterium. RNAcentral describes it as "SSU rRNA". It matches the Rfam family "Bacterial small subunit ribosomal RNA", at positions 26 to 518 of the family's 1533-position model. The record is from RNAcentral.
AGGAUUAACGCUGGCGGCGUGCCUGACACAUGCAAGUCGAACGAGGCCGCAAGGCCGAGUGGCGGACGGGUGAGUAACACGUGACCAACCAACCUCGAAGUUGGGAAUAGCUCUGCGAAAGUAGGGGUAAUACCGAAUGUGGCCCAGGGCGGGCAUCCGCCUUGGUCUAAAGAUUCAUCGCUUCGAGACGGGGUCGCGGCCUAUUAGCUUGUUGGUGAGGUAACGGCUCACCAAGGCGAUGAUGGGUAGCUGGUCUGAGAGGACGACCAGCCACACUGGGACUGAGACACGGCCCAGACUCCUACGGGAGGCAGCAGUGAGGAAUCUUCCGCAAUGGGCGAAAGCCUGACGGAGCAACGCCGCGUGUGGGAUGAAAGACUCUAGGGUUGUAAAACCACUGUCGGAGGGACGAUCGUGACGGUACCCUCCAAGGAAAGCCCCGGACUAACUACGCGCCCAGCAGCCGC